UCCUACGGGAGGCAGCAGUGAGGAAUAUUGGUCAAUGGUCGGGAGACUGAACCAGCCAAGCCGCGUGAGGGAUGAAGGUACAGAGUAUCGUAAACCUCUUUUGUCGGGGAGCAAAGAGAGUCACGUGUGACUCAUUGAGAGUACCCGAAGAAAAAGCAUCGGCUAACUCCGUGCCAGCAGCCGCGGUAAUACGGAGGAUGCGAGCGUUAUCCGGAUUUAUUGGGUUUAAAGGGUGCGCAGGCGGAGGUGCAAGUCAGCGGUCAAAUUGCGGGGCUCAACCCCGUACUGCCG
Molecule: ribosomal RNA, 291 nt
Filed under: uncultured bacterium
Lineage: Bacteria
Description: partial 16S ribosomal RNA
Rfam family: Bacterial small subunit ribosomal RNA
Source: RNAcentral